This 253-nucleotide ribosomal RNA is filed under the name uncultured bacterium. RNAcentral's name for it is "partial 16S ribosomal RNA". It matches the Rfam family "Bacterial small subunit ribosomal RNA", at positions 524 to 776 of the family's 1533-position model. The record is from RNAcentral.
UACGGGGGGGGCAAGCGUUGUUCGGAAUUACUGGGCGUAAAGGGCUCGUAGGUGGCCAACUAAGUCAGACGUGAAAUCCCUCGGCCUAACCGGGGAACUGCGUCUGAUACUGGAUGGCUUGAGAUUGGGAGAGGGACGCGGAAUUCCAGGUGUAGCGGUGAAAUGCGUAGAUAUCUGGAGGAACACCGGUGGCGAAGGCGGCGUCCUGGACCAACACUGACACUGAGGAGCGAAAGCCAGGGGAGCAAACGGG